Molecule: long non-coding RNA, 1719 nt
Organism: Dendroctonus ponderosae (mountain pine beetle)
Lineage: Eukaryota; Metazoa; Arthropoda; Insecta; Coleoptera; Curculionidae
Exons: 3
Source: RefSeq, a predicted model, not a curated record
GUUACUGACGGUCAGCCGGUUGUAGCGCAACGCGGUUCCAAGUUUUAACAUUAUACCGCCACCUCUCUUAUUUUACUUUCUCUAUGGUAUCGAACACAAUGCGUUCCUUUUGGAGUCUGUGCCACAGACUACAUACUAUUUUGUGCAUUUUGGUUUAUCCGUAUUAAGCAAUUUUAGUAGGUUCAAAAUUCAAGUGCAGUAUGGAAUCAGGUAGGUAAAUAGCAUAGUGAGUGGUUCUAGAUCUAGUGCAAGUGUUUUUGUUCUGAGUUGCUAUUUAGUGCUAUAACUUUUGAAAAUCACGUCCAAACGACCCGACAUUUAUCAUUGAAAUUAGCGAUUGCCCAGUGCCGUAUAGUUUUGAAACUUGUUUUAAGAACUAACAAUAGAUUAUUCGACACACAAAAUCUUGGCUAUGAUCCGGUUUUUGCAAAAUUUUGGGACCUAUUUCAAACCUCAUGGUUGAUUGCGGUUAUGUUCCAUACGUCUUCGUCUUGUUUUGGGCGGCUUUGUACGGAAUGUUGCACGUUAAUUAGUCGGUUAAUAAGUGGUUAUACGCAAUGUACUACAUAACUCGUAAUUUUUGCAGCAAAACUCCAUUUUAAACUGCAAGCAGAUUUUUUCAAAAUAUUCUUAAACAAUUGUCUAAUGUGUAGACAGCAGCAUGAGCAACAGCAUCGAGAUAAAGAGAGACUGGAGCGGGAGAGACAGGAACUUGGUAAAUUGGACCGAAAGAGAGAAUAAAAGGAGAUGCAGGAACUUUCGUUAACUUUGCAAUUACUUCAAAAUUACAUUAUAAAAGAAAUAAUAAUUAUGCGUGAUGAGAUUUCCACCAAGAUCGCUGAAAAGUUUUGCUGAUCAUUUUUCCGUGACUGACGAACAACUUUCGAAAUUGUCUACCUGCUAUAUCGUCAACCUAUGAUUAAUGUAUUACGCCUGUAUUUCAGAUAUUGCGGCACCGUUGCGUCGAAGACGAAAGGAGAGCCUUUACCAGCUCAUAGUAGCCGAUUAUAUUAGGCAAAACGACUGAGAAAUUGACAAAAAUGCACUCAACAAUGAUGCCAAAAAGUAUGAGUUUUUAAUCUGAAAAAUCGCUUAGGGCUGCACAACAAAAGCGUGAGCAGCAACAGCAAUGGAACUCUAUAGGUAAUAGGCAAAUCCAGUCAACACCUUCGUUCUUGACCGACGCAAACUGACCUGCAUCAAAGAAAGAGGCAUGUGGGGGCGGUGAGGGCUAAUGACGCAAACCACAGAUAUUGCGGUACCGUUGCGUCGAAGACGAAAGGAGAGCCUUUACCAGCUCAUAGUAGCCGAUUAUAUUAGGCAAAACGACUGAGCAAUUGACAAAAAUGCACUCAACAAUGAUGCCAAAAAGUAUGAGUUUUUAAUCAGAAAAAUCGCUUAGGGCUGCACAACAAAAGCGUGAGCAGCAACAGCAAUGGAACUCUAUAGGUAAUAGGCAAAUCUAGUCAACAUCUUCGUCCCUGACUGACGCAAACUGACCUGCAUCAAAGAGACAGGCAUGUGGGGGCGGUGAGGGCUAAUGACGCAAACCACAGAUAUUGCAACACCGUUGCGUCGAAGACGAAAGGAGAGCCUUUACCAUCUCAUAGUAGCCUAUUAUUCCAAGGCAAAACGACUGAGAAAUUGACAAACAUGUACUCAUCUUACUUGUUAGUUACUGUUACUUAUUUUAGAUAAAAUAGAAGUUUUGUUGAAAAA